GUCAGUAACUCGCCUUGAACUUGGUUCCCGGAGACUCUAAACUGCUGUUGGAACUCUGGUGGAUGAAUCCUGGCUGGCCCAAGUGAAUCAUGCAGGGAUAUGCCAACAGCAUGCUCUCCUGCCCGUGACUGGCUGCACGAGGAUGUGACCUUUGCUGCCACUGUGUUCAUCCAGUGACUAAAGGCAUAUGUCUGAGCAGCCAUCACACUGGAAUGAAAGCAAAUGAAUCCCUGACGGUGUCACUGAGGCGCUGAACUAAGCAAUCCAGACACCGUUUCCCUCUCAAGCUGCAGUUUCCACAGGUUGAAAGUCGCUGCUUGAAUAAUCUGAGAAGUCUUCCAGGUCCAGCAACAAUACUUAACUAAUCAGGAGUGUGUGCUGUAGGGAAGAUCAGGAUGUGGUGGUUCUCACGUCUCCUCCAGCACAAUGUGUGUGCCCCAUGCUUCCUGCUAUGAUGAAAAUGGAUCAGACCUCUGAAACUCUAAGCAACUCUUAUAUAACUCUUCUUAUAUAAGAGUUGUGUUGGUCAGGUUUCUUCACAGCAAUAAAACAGUAACUAAGACACCUACCUAUGUC
Mus musculus (house mouse) is the source of this 576-nucleotide long non-coding RNA. RefSeq annotates it as predicted gene, 31017. The record is from RefSeq and is a predicted model, not a curated record. Lineage: Eukaryota; Metazoa; Chordata; Mammalia; Rodentia; Muridae. The transcript is spliced from 5 exons.